This 803-nucleotide ribosomal RNA is filed under the name uncultured bacterium. Its description in RNAcentral is "bacterial SSU rRNA". It matches the Rfam family "Bacterial small subunit ribosomal RNA", at positions 545 to 1353 of the family's 1533-position model. The record is from RNAcentral.
CCGGAAUUACUGGGUGUAAAGGGAGUGUAGGCGGGGCUUCAAGUCCGUUGUGGAACCGGAUCGGCUCAACUGAUCGUUGCGGCGGAAACUGGAGCUCUUGAGUGAGGUAGAGGCAGGCGGAAUUCCCAGUGUAGUGGUGAAAUGCGUACGAUAUUGCGAGGAACACCAGUGGCGAAGGCGGCUAUGCUGGGCCUUAACUGACGCUGAGGCUCGAAAGUGUGGGGAGCAUACAGGAUUAGAUACCUUGGUAGUCCACACUGUAAACGAUGAUCACUAGGUGUGGGGGGACUGACCCCUUCCGUGCCGCAGUGAACACAAUAAGUAAUCCACCUGGCGAGUACGACCGCAAGGUUGAAACUCAAAGGAAUUGACGGGGGCCCGCACAAGCAGUGGAGUAUGUGGUCUAAUUAGAAGCAACGCGAAGAACCUUACCAGGUCUUGACAUCGUGUGCAUAGCGUGGAGACACGUAAAGCCCUUCGGGGCACACAGACAGGUGGUGCAUGGUUGUCGUCAGCUCGUGUCGUGAGAUGUUGGGUUAAGUCCCGCAACGAGCGCAACCCUUACGAUUAGUUACUACGAAAGAGGACUCUAAUAGGACUGCCGUUGACAAAACGGAGGAAGGUGGGGAUGACGUCAAAUCAUCAUGCCCCUUAUGACCUGGGCUACACACGUACUACAAUGAUGGUCAACAGAGGGAAGAUAAGCCGCGAGGUGGAGCGAACCCCUAAAAGCCAUCUCAGUUCGGAUCGCAGGCUGCAACCCGCUUGCGUGAAGCUGGAAUUGCUAGUAAUCGCGGAUCAGC